RNAcentral lists this ribosomal RNA (779 nucleotides) under uncultured Neocallimastigales. RNAcentral's name for it is "partial large subunit ribosomal RNA". It matches the Rfam family "Eukaryotic large subunit ribosomal RNA", at positions 26 to 645 of the family's 3401-position model. Lineage: Eukaryota; Fungi; Neocallimastigomycota; Neocallimastigomycetes; Neocallimastigales. The record is from RNAcentral.
CGUCUAUAUACGUAUAGCAUAUCAAUAAGCGGAGGAAAAGAAACUAACUAGGAUUCCCUCAGUAACGGCGAGUGAAGCGGGAAGAGCUCAAAUUUGAAAUCUUCAAGGUUCUACCUUGACGAAUUGUAGUUUAAAGAAGUGUUUUCUGUUGGAGUUUUGGUAAAAGUUCUUUGGAAUAGGACAUCAUAGAGGGUGAGAAUCCCGUAUUUGACCAUUACUUUCCAGCGUUGUGAUACACUUUCAAAGAGUCGGAUUGUUUGGGAAUGCAGUCCAAAAUGGGUGGUAAAUUUCAUCUAAAGCUAAAUAUUGGCGAGAGACCGAUAGCGAACAAGUACCGUGAGGGAAAGAUGAAAAGAACUUUGAAAAGAGAGUUAAACAGCUACGUGAAAUUGUCAAAAGGGAAGCGUUUGACACCAGUGUUGUUUUCUCGAAAAUCAAUUAAAAAUGGCCUGAUUUUGUGUUGUAAGGGACCUUUAUCAGCGUUUCUGCACUCUUUUCUUGUCCUUUUUAAUGCACUUUUCGUUUAACAAGUCAACAUCAAUUUCUUUUGUUGUAAAAGGGUCAUUGGAAGGUGGCUUUCUUUUCGGAGAAAGUGUUUAUAGCCUUUGGCCUCUGCAAUCGGAGAGAUUGAGGUCUGCAGCGUAGAUCCUUCGGGGUUAGAUACAUUUGUGCUAAGUUAUAGCCUUUCAUAGACAACUUGUUGACUAUGAUCAGUCAUGUAGCUUACUCGCUUAUGCUAUUUUACCUACGCUUAGGAUGUUGAAGUCAUCGUAUCGCGC